This is a non-coding RNA of Cinara cedri, 214 nucleotides long. The record is from the annotation of a GenBank genome assembly. NCBI's taxonomy places the organism in Eukaryota, Metazoa, Arthropoda, Insecta, Hemiptera, Aphididae.
UUUAUAAUAUAGUGCUAUCAAAAUUUAAAUUUUAAAGUAUAGUAUUUUAAUUUGAAAAAUUGAACAUAAAUGUAGUUAUUAAAUGAAGAUACCUAGAAAAAUGUACCUAGUAAUAUUUGAUUAUUACAAUUUACUUAGUAAAAACUAUAAAGGUAUGUUCACUUUGUGUGCAUUGACAUUUAUACCACUUACGUUAAAAAUCUGUUCGCUGUGG